RNAcentral lists this long non-coding RNA (882 nucleotides) under Rattus norvegicus (Norway rat). Its description in RNAcentral is "long non-coding RNA NONRATT018480". Lineage: Eukaryota; Metazoa; Chordata; Mammalia; Rodentia; Muridae. The record is from RNAcentral.
UCCCAGACAGUGACGAGGAUGAGGAUGAAGAGACAGCCAUCCGGAGAGUCCUGCAGCAGCUCACUGAAGAAGCAGCUCUGGAUGAGGCAAGUGGCUUUAACAUCCCUGAGGAACCAGCUCCAGCAUCCCAGGCUCAACCCCACAAGGCCAAGACUGAGGCUGAGGAAGAAGAACUCCCCUGGUGCUGUAUCUGCAAUGAGGAUGCUACUCUGCGCUGUGCUGGCUGUGAUGGAGACCUCUACUGUGCCCGGUGCUUCCGGUAGGUGCUGGUUGAGAGGAGAAUGUUCUUGAUUUGAGGGCUGCCAAGAUGUCUGCCAUUCACCCCUUUGUUCUGCAGGGAGGGCCACGAUAACUUUGAUCUUAAAGAACAUCAGACUUCUCCCUUCCACCCCCGACCGCCUUGCCGAGAACACUGAGAAUAGCCUAAUGAUCUCCUGAGGUGGCAGUACCACAGGCAACCAUCAGGCUGGGAAGACACCUGGGCUAAGUCUCCAGGCAUCCAGGGGGAUAGCAGACCCUGCUUUACUGAUGUGAGCUUCACAGCCCCUGGGAGGGAGGAAGAUAAUGGCCCUUAGAGGGAGCAGAUGAAGGAAGGAGUCAGAGCCCUCCUCUAAGGCUGACCUCAAACAGGCAGAUGGGGAAGCCCAGACUGAAGCUGUGGCUGAUACUUGAAACCUGGUUCCAGUGCCCAACCCUGGGCCUGUAGAGGAUCUAAUAAAAUGUUGUCAUUGGUCCCAGAUGGUUUUCCUGUCUUGGGGAUUGAGACCAGGCCUUUGCACAUGCUAGAGAUGAUGCUACAUUCCACACUUGCAAUUGUGUUUGUUACUGGCACUACUGGGCAUUGAACCCACAUCCUCAGACAUGCUUAGUGUGUGCUCUUCC